GCCGGAGUGGCGGAAUCGGCAGACGCACAGGACUUAAAAUCCUGCGGUGGGUGACCACCGUACCAGUUCGACCCUGGUCUUCGGCACCA
RNAcentral lists this transfer RNA (89 nucleotides) under Paenibacillus filicis. RNAcentral describes it as "tRNA-Leu". It matches the Rfam family "tRNA". Rfam says of the family: Transfer RNA (tRNA) molecules are approximately 80 nucleotides in length. Their secondary structure includes four short double-helical elements and three loops (D, anti-codon, and T loops). Further hydrogen bonds mediate the characteristic L-shaped molecular structure. tRNAs have two regions of fundamental functional importance: the anti-codon, which is responsible for specific mRNA codon recognition, and the 3' end, to which the tRNAs corresponding amino acid is attached (by aminoacyl-tRNA synthetases). tRNAs cope with the degeneracy of the genetic code in two manners: having more than one tRNA (with a specific anti-codon) for a particular amino acid; and 'wobble' base-pairing, i.e. permitting non-standard base-pairing at the 3rd anti-codon position. Lineage: Bacteria; Bacillati; Bacillota; Bacilli; Caryophanales; Paenibacillaceae. RNAcentral also lists the same sequence under 2 other names. The record is from RNAcentral.